RNAcentral lists this unclassified non-coding RNA (2848 nucleotides) under Rhipicephalus microplus (southern cattle tick). RNAcentral describes it as "uncharacterized LOC119187502, transcript variant X3". The record is from RNAcentral. Lineage: Eukaryota; Metazoa; Arthropoda; Arachnida; Ixodida; Ixodidae.
GUCUUCUGUUAAAUUUUCAUAUUGAAGUUGUAAGCCGCAAAGGUAAAUAAAUAAAAAAAGAGAGGACAGUUGAUUUUCAGCCUCGCGCUGUAUAUCUUUACUGCUUAUUCAUGUAUGUAUGUACAAACCAACUGACUAGCCUAACAACGUGUUCUGGUGGUGGGUGUUCUUUGGUCUAGCCACCAUUCUACUGUGCUCUGUGCUGUUCAAGAUGGCUGAGAGCGCGGAUCGCAAAUUUCGGCGUGAAAUUAAUCGGCGCGUCAAUGCUAGUUUUCAGCUUAUUGACAGUGAGGCCGAUGUCAUAAAUGACACGCGGUACGUUGACCGAGAUUCCCGCAACGCCGAAAGAGAGAGCGACUUGCCCUCCGAGGCUUGUGCGGUCGACCUCGAAGACGGCCAUCGUCGCCUUUGUGUUCAUGACAGAGAACGGCCUUCGGCACACUCCUCGAUCGUUCCAGAAACGGAUGUGCCCCAAGGACACGUUUUGAUUUCUGGCGACGCGUGCUACCCCAGCGGCUGCAGUGUUUCUGUGCCUCACGAUCACACAGACUUCGAACGGCGUGCCUUCCAUGACAGCAGCGCUGCGGCUUCGACUUCGGCGACCUCGCAGGUGAGGCAGAGGGAUUCUUUCGAAUUGGCACCGACUGGGAGUAACGAAGAGCAAGUUUGUGAACGCGGCAGUGUGGACAGCUUGCUGGCCUUUCGUGAGAGACUGCAAGCGUGGGCCUUACAAUCUCGCGCAUCGCACACUUCAGUUACAUCGCUCUUGAGAGUACUACAGUCCCACGAAUGCUUCAGCGCGCUCCCUUCAACUGCAAGGGCAUUGUUACAGACGCCCAAGAAGUGCCUGGAAGUGUUGCAGCUGGCCGGCGGGAAAUACCAUCAUUUCGGCCUCAGUGCAGGCCUACAGCGAGUGCUGCAAGAUUGUGCAGAACUACCAAGAAUUUUGAAGCUUAGCUUCAACAUUGACGGUCUGCCGGUUUCAAAAAGUUCACGGGGCCAAUUUUGGUGCAUACUGGGACGCAUAAGUAAUUUGGAGGACAAAGCACCAUUUAUAGUGGGUGUUUUUUUCGGAAGCAGCAAGCCCAACAACGCGAAUGAUUUUUUGCGACCAUUUGUUUGUGACAUAAAUGCUGCUAUCACAACAGGGAUUACCAUUGGAGAAACUGCAAUUCCUGUUAGCUUGUAUGCCCUCAUAUGUGAUGCACCAGCAAAGGCAUUUGUAUUAUAUGUCAGAAGCCACACAGGCUAUUACAGCUGCACCAAAUGUGACGUAAAAGGUGUCUACUGUGAGGGCAGGGUGUGCUUCCCAAACGUCAAUGCUCGCAAGCGAACAGAUGACAGCUUUCGCUUAAAAGUCCAGGAGGAGCAUCACACAGGCGAAAGUAUUCUUGAGGAACUUCCUUUUGACCUAGUGAAAGAUAUACCAUUAGAUUACAUGCACCUUGUGUGCUUGGGUGUCAUGAACAAGCUCUUGACACUGUGGGUACGUGGCCCAAAAGUGACCAGACUUGGAAGCAAAGUGCGUCUUGAGAUGUCGGAAAAAAAUUCUCAAAUUGCACGGUGUGUUCCAUGUGAUUUUAGCCGAAAGCCGAGGAGCAUUGCUGAACUUGAUCGGUGGAAAGCGACUGAGUUUCGCUUUUUUCUUUUAUAUGGAGGACCCGUUGUUUUGUCAUCACUGAUUCCUGCACACAUGUACAAGAACUUCUUAGCUUUACAUGUGGGGAUCUCUGUUCUUUCCACACCAGCUGCACCUGCAAGUGAGAUAGAGUAUGCCGGAAACAUGCUCAAGUUUUUUAUCCGGACAUUCAUAAGCAUUUAUGGCAAAGAGCAUGUUUCACACAAUGUGCAUGGCCUGUGUCAUUUGGCAGAUGAUGUUACACACCUUGGCCCCUUGGACUCAUGGAGUGCCUUCCCAUUUGAAAACCAUAUGUCCUCGUUAAAGAGAAUGCUGAGAAAGCCAGACCUUCCCUUGGAGCAACUUUGCAACAGGCUUGCUGAGCAGGCACACCGUCCUCUGAGGCAUAAGAAAACUGAAAGCCAUGUCGUAUUUGCUGCAGAGCAUGCUGACGGGCCACUUGUUGCUCCAUGCCGAGGCCCCGAGUUUAAAAAAGUAACAUUGCCUGGCAAUGUCAUUCUUAGAGCUGAAAAGAGAAAUGGGUGCUGUAGGCUAAGUGAUGGGUCAAUCGUCGUUAUUGACAAUUUUGCUCAUCUCCCGUGCGGUGAGCCAUGCAUAAUUGGAAGGAAGUUCCUCAAGUGUGAAGAUUUUUAUUCUCUGCCAUGCCCUUCCUCCAUACUGGGAAUUUACUCAGUGUCUCAGCCUUCUAGUCUGCGGUAUUGGCCUCUGAAGAACAUCUCACAGAAAUGCCUGAAAGUGUAUUUGAAAAGGAAAAGCAUUGUUUUCCCUCUUUUGCAUGCUACAGUGCACAUGUAAUAAACUUUCACAACUGUGUCAGAAUGUAUACAGAAUUUGAAUUUGGCUUCUCUUUCUUUUGCAAGGUCAAUACGUUGUCGUUCUCUUCCCAGAAGAGGAUGAUACAUCUGGGAUCAUCCUCAAAAGUUGGCUGAAAGGCGACGGCUGCCUGUGGCCUCGACAAACUAAAUAUGUACAUAGUUUGUUGAAGGCGAAAGCGACUCCAGGGGCUGACUGGAUAGAAGUGCCUUGCACUGUUGUCCGAGAAUUUGAUACAUAUGCCGAAGCACGGGCAAAUCUGCCAAGGGUAGAAAAUGGAUCCAACUUGGACGGCGAGGCAGAACUUGGGAAAGGCAGAAGAAAAAAAAAUAAGAGAUCCUAUGAGUCUGAAGAUGAUGAAGGGGCACCAUCACCUCCAGCUUCAAUGAUAAGACG